Molecule: ribosomal RNA, 278 nt
Filed under: uncultured bacterium
Lineage: Bacteria
Description: partial 16S ribosomal RNA
Rfam family: Bacterial small subunit ribosomal RNA
Source: RNAcentral
CAAUACUCCCGCCGGCGACCGGCGCACGGGUGAGUAACACGUAUGCAACCUGCCCCUGUCAGGGGGACAACCCGCCGAAAGGCGGGCUAAACCCGCGUACAUGCCACCGGGGCAUCCCGGAGGCAGGAAAGGCUUCGGCCGGACAGGGAUGGGCAUGCGGCGCAUUAGGCAGUAGGCGGGGUAACGGCCCACCUAACCGACGAUGCGUAGGGGUUCUGAGAGGAAGGUCCCCCACACUGGUACUGAGACACGGACCAGACUCCUACGGGAGGCAGCAG